GACGAACGCUGGCGGCGUGCCUAAUACAUGCAAGUAGAACGCUGAAGGAGGAGCUUGCUUCUCCGGAUGAGUUGCGAACGGGUGAGUAACGCGUAGGUAACCUGCCUGGUAGCGGGGGAUAACUAUUGGAAACGAUAGCUAAUACCGCAUAACAGUAGAUAUUGCAUGAUAUCUGCUUGAAAGGUGCAAUUGCAUCACUACCAGAUGGACCUGCGUUGUAUUAGCUAGUUGGUGGGGUAACGGCUCACCAAGGCGACGAUACAUAGCCGACCUGAGAGGGUGAUCGGCCACACUGGGACUGAGACACGGCCCAGACUCCUACGGGAGGCAGCAGUAGGGAAUCUUCGGCAAUGGACGGAAGUCUGACCGAGCAACGCCGCGUGAGUGAAGAAGGUUUUCGGAUCGUAAAGCUCUGUUGUAAGAGAAGAACGAGUGUGAGAGUGGAAAGUUCACACUGUGACGGUAUCUUACCAGAAAGAGACGGCUAACUACGUG
Molecule: ribosomal RNA, 495 nt
Filed under: uncultured bacterium
Lineage: Bacteria
Description: partial 16S ribosomal RNA
Rfam family: Bacterial small subunit ribosomal RNA
Source: RNAcentral